GAUGAAGAACGUAGCGAAAUGCGAUAACUAAUGUGAAUUGCAGAAUUCCGUGAAUCAUCGAGUCUUUGAACGCACAUUGCGCCCCCUGGUAUUCCGGGGGGCAUGCCUGUCCGAGCGUCAUUGCUGCCCAUCAAGCACGGCUUGUGUGUUGGGUCCCGUCCCCCUCUCCGGGGGACGGACCCGAAAGGCAGCGGCGGCACCGCGUCCGGUCCUCGAGCGUAUGGGGCUUUGUCACCCGCUCUUGUAGGCCCGGCCGGCGCUUGCCGACACCCAACCAUUUUUUUCAGGUUGACCUCGGAUCAGGUAGGGAUACCCGCUGAACUUAAGCAUAUCAAUAAGCGGAGGA
RNAcentral lists this unclassified non-coding RNA (346 nucleotides) under soil metagenome. RNAcentral's name for it is "partial contains 5.8S ribosomal RNA, internal transcribed spacer 2, and large subunit ribosomal RNA". The stretch from base 1 to 120 matches the Rfam family "5.8S ribosomal RNA", at positions 35 to 154 of the family's 154-position model. The record is from RNAcentral.